CCUACGGGAGGCAGCAGUGGGGAAUAUUGGGCAAUGGAGGAAACUCUGACGCAGCAACGCCGCGUGAGGGAAGAAGGUCUUCGGAUUGUAAACCUCUGUCCUCAGGGACGAAAAAAAUGACGGUACCUGAGGAGGAAGCCCCGGCUAACUACGUGCCAGCAGCCGCGGUAAU
Molecule: ribosomal RNA, 172 nt
Filed under: uncultured Clostridium sp.
Lineage: Bacteria; Bacillati; Bacillota; Clostridia; Eubacteriales; Clostridiaceae
Description: partial 16S ribosomal RNA
Rfam family: Bacterial small subunit ribosomal RNA
Source: RNAcentral